This is a long non-coding RNA of Brachypodium distachyon (stiff brome), 1015 nucleotides long. RefSeq lists it as uncharacterized. The record is from RefSeq and is a predicted model, not a curated record. NCBI's taxonomy places the organism in Eukaryota, Viridiplantae, Streptophyta, Magnoliopsida, Poales, Poaceae. The transcript is spliced from 3 exons.
UCCAAUUCAUAGUCUCAUAUAGACCAUUAUGUAACUUUCUCCACUCUCCAGGAUGUUUUACUUUGAAUCCUUUUUAACCACGACACUGCAGAGUAGAGAUUUAGUUGGUUCUUGGAACCUUUUCUUCCUAGCACAUUAGAAGUGUUACCUUAUUCCUCUCAUUAGAUGUCUUGAGCCGGCUUUAAAAAAUAAAUGCCCCACAUAUUUGGUAUUUAAUUACUUAUACACCUUCCUGUUAUAUCCUGUUAGCACUUUGAUUUGUUUCCACAUUUUGUUUGAUUGAGUAGUCUUGAGUUGUAGAAAUAUCACUACCAAGACUUAUCUUGUUCAGGUCUUUAAAGUGAAGACCAAGGAAAUCAAGCGGACAGUCCAGAGGAUAAAGAAGCAAGAAGAUUCAGUGUCCAUAUUUAUAUCGUAAAGAAUACAGUCCCUGUAGGUUGAGAAUUAUUUUGUCAAAUUUAGUUAUGAACUAACCUAGGUUUCUGUCAGUUAAUGCAAUGCUACGACUGUGAUAUAAUGCCAGCUGUAUGCUACUUUUGACUCCCAUCAGCCUGUUGCGCCAUACCAACUUCAUCAUAAAAAGACUUGCACAUUGGUUCUCAUGUUGUCUUCUAGUAUAUCUCUAGGUCAGACCAUUGGGCACGACAUAAUAUACAAUUCACAGAGCACACCUGGUUCUUCACAUGCUAGCUCACAAUCAAUCCAAAGUGAUGGAAUGGAUGGUGCUGGAACCAGUGCUGAUUGCAACAACAGUGCUAUGAAUGUGGAAAUCAAUGACACUGCUAUUGGCUUGGACCAACAAUGGGGGUCAACGUAGAUGGGGAGAAUGAAUCUGAUGAUGAUGGUGAAGCCGAUGAUCGAUGAUCCUAGUAGCAAUCUAGAGUGGUAUAUUUAUUUUGAUGCUUGAACCUAGUUGCAUAUGGUGAUGUAUGGACACAAAAUGAUGUGUACGACUUUUGUUGGUUUUGAUUUGGAUGAAUGCAAUGUCAUGCAUUUCUGGAACUUUUUAUAUAUA